Molecule: transfer RNA, 70 nt
Filed under: Kaupichthys hyoproroides (false moray)
Lineage: Eukaryota; Metazoa; Chordata; Actinopteri; Anguilliformes; Chlopsidae
Description: tRNA-Ser (UCN)
Rfam family: tRNA
About the family: Transfer RNA (tRNA) molecules are approximately 80 nucleotides in length. Their secondary structure includes four short double-helical elements and three loops (D, anti-codon, and T loops).
Source: RNAcentral
AAGAAAGUGACAGAGUGGUUAUGUGAUUGGCUUGAACUGAUUAAUGGGGGUUCAAUUCCUUCCUUUCUUG